UUUUAUGGAGAGUUUGAUCCUGGCUCAGGAUGAACGCUGGCGGCGUGCCUAAUACAUGCAAGUCGAGCGAACAGACGAGGAGCUUGCUCCUUUGACGUUAGCGGCGGACGGGUGAGUAACACGUGGAUAACCUACCUAUAAGACUGGGAUAACUUCGGGAAACCGGAGCUAAUACCGGAUAACAUGUUGAAC
This 192-nucleotide ribosomal RNA is filed under the name Staphylococcus capitis. RNAcentral's name for it is "partial 16S ribosomal RNA". It matches the Rfam family "Bacterial small subunit ribosomal RNA", at positions 1 to 186 of the family's 1533-position model. The record is from RNAcentral. Lineage: Bacteria; Bacillati; Bacillota; Bacilli; Caryophanales; Staphylococcaceae.